CGUUUCCACCAAGCAGUACAGAGAAAACAAUCAAAGGAUUGCUGUCUGUAAUUCCAAAUACAAAAUGAAAGCACCCACUCUUCAUUGGGAACCUGCCUUGAACUUUCCCUCCAACGUCAGUUCUGUCAAGAAGCUUGGCAAGUUUUUUAUGCUGGAGAAUCAAGUAUAUCUGCCGGAAAAUCUCAACAUCAGUGAGCUCACCUGUGUGGCCACAUACACCUCUGAGUCCGGCUCUGUGCAGCACAGGAGCACACUUUAUCUUCCAGGUUCACAAAACUCAAAUCCCUCAUCUCCAUGGAAAAAUAUUGCCAUAUCAGUUGGCUCUGUUUUUUUUGUUCUUGUAGCGCUGCUUGCGGUUUACAAACUACGCAGAAAGUUUUAUGACAUAAGUGCGUUGAAGAUGCUUUGCUGCAAAUCCAAAAUCUCAACACCAGUUGAAGACAAACCACCCCAGCCCGCUGAUGUUGAAGAGGUGGAACCCUAUGCAAGUUACGUACAGAGAGUCAAUUCCAUCUACAACUCCUCAGCUGAACUCUUCAACGCCUGAGAGACACUCGCUUUUCAUGAUGAAACAGGAUACCAGAAGAGAACUGAGGGCAAAGAUAUGUCUGUGGUCAAAAUUACACAUGAAAAACAGUACUAGUGGAAAAUAGUCAUCUCAAGAGAGCAUCCCCGAAGCAAACAGCACCUGACUGAGGAGCAAAAGUCACACUGACUCAAAAGAUGAAAGGUGAUGACAAAGGAACAUUUGUCUUAGUAUGCAAUGAGGAAUAACUGGGACAUCUUCAGCAUCAGCGAUAUCACUAAUAUGUAGAUUUGUAGAGAACGAACCUGGUUAGAUAUUAAUCAAAUUUGUACAUAUUUAUAUCAGAGUGAAACUAAAAUCAACUGCAAACAAUGUUUUUAUUGCUAAAUACUAAGCAGACCUGAUGUAGAGAACCUAUUUUACAUUGCACAUAAUUAAAAGUAUGUAAAUAAACGUUAUUAUUGUACUUUUCAGAAUGGUAUAUGUUCUUACAGACUUAUGAUUACGGUCCCCUAUCAGUUUUGAACACAAACAACACAAGUGCGACAAUUAUUUUAUGACCAUUUAGCUUUUUUAAAUCAAAU
Molecule: long non-coding RNA, 1110 nt
Filed under: Sinocyclocheilus grahami
Lineage: Eukaryota; Metazoa; Chordata; Actinopteri; Cypriniformes; Cyprinidae
Description: lncRNA (ENSSGRG00000046288.1)
Source: RNAcentral